CAUAUACCUUUGCACACUAUUUUCCAGGAUGGGGAGGGUGGGGGUGAUAAGAGUAAUGAUGUCAAUUUUUUUUCUUAAACUCAAACGAACAUAAUGUUACAUAUGUACACACAUUAUAAAAUAAUUUAAAAAAUAAUUCAAUCACAAAAACAGUUGCAGGUUGAAUGUACAGUUUACUUCAAAAAAGGGAUACAUACAUGAGGGAACAUUGGGUAAAGACCAGUUCUGAUAAACCAUUUCUGCUAAUUGUAUCUCAAUAACAGAAUGGCUGGCUGUGGCAGUUUUAUUCCUGCUGGCAUACACUUGCUUACAAUAUUAACAGGACAGUGAAUAAAGGAACAUUUUAAUUUGUAUGGCCUGAAAGGAAAUCAUGAUUAUAUUAUACACAGUGUGAGUUUUUAGUACACGGCAUCAGGUUAUUUUCUUAUUUGUAUGACAUACUCAACAGCAGGGAGGAGAGAAGUUAACAAUAACUAACACUAUAAUAAUCAAAUUUUGUAUGUUAUACAUGUACAGCAACUAACUGCUUUACAAAAAAGCAAAAUAAUACAAUAUAUUGUCACAUGUAUUUACAGUGUAGUAAAUAUACUUUUCUGUCAAAUUUUACACAAAAAAUAUUUACAGAUGAAUGUACUGCAUUAAAAAAAAAUAAUGUGGCUAACACUUAAAAGUUACUUUUUGUGGUAGUCUGUUGCAUAACAUUGGGUAAGACAUGCUUAGAAAAGGAUAAACUCAGAAAAUAAAGCAUAAAAGCCUUACACGCAAACAGAUUAAUAGGAAUAGAGGACAGUGUGUGUGUGUGUGUGUGUGUGUGUGUGAUUUUCUAUGAGCCCACAUGUCUGAACAUCAAUAUGCACAUCAAAGUCAAUGCAGUUCCAAAUUAGAUAUAUUUUAGUCUGCAAAAGUCCUCAACUUUAACUGGGCAAUUUGCAAACAGUGUAUCAAAGCUAUUCGCUAAACCUAGAAUGUAGGCCAAAUUGAAUAUCCAAAUUGCAAGGAUUUGCCAACUCCACAGUUUUACAGAAGAUAAAAAAACAAAACAAAUCUAAACAGAAAAAGAAAUUCUAAAGGCAGUUGAAAUUCUACAGAUAUUGAGAGAGAGGAACACACAAAUAUGUUUAAAUCUACACACUAAAGAAUAUUUUGUAGCCAGCUGGCAAGGUUUCAUGGGAACUAGCAGACGUUGGGAGUAAUCUCAGCUCUGGAUGUACCUUUUGCACUGCUUUAAAAAAAGAGAUACCAUUUGCAGCACAGGACAACAGCAACAAGAAUUAAUAAAUAAAUAAUUGUGAAGUAAGAGGCUAAGAUGGCCCAUAUAUUUUAACUAGCUUUAUAACUUUAGUAAGCACCUACUCCUCUCAAUAAUUGAAAAUUAAAACUAAAGGAAAGAAAUGAGACAUUGAUCUACUAUACAGAAUAAAAAUAAAUAGGUAAGCAUGUGAUAUAUUCGCUAUAAAAAAAAAACAAACACUUUAUAAAAAGUAUAGUAAUCACAAAGACAGACAUUUGAAAUAAAAAAAAAUUAACGAAACAUACAGGCAGCAUGGUAGGAAUACUAGUUACGUUUUUAAAAACCUCAAUGCCCUCUUUUCACAUGCCAUUAUCUGUAACCAGUCAUGAUAUAUAAAUAGAUGACCUACUAGUUCUGUCUUAUAAAUCCAGAUGACUGAUUAUAGAUAUAGGAAAAGCUUAAAUAAAGGCUAUUAAAAAUAAAAUUCAACUAACAAAACUCCCUGUUUAGCUCGUGGUGAUUUACAAAUUCUCUCAACCAAAAAAUGUGAAUCAUUCACUUAAACAGCUGCAUAGUAAAGACAAGGGCCAAGGAAGAUAAGCACUCUUGGGGACUUAAAAGUUCGGGGUUGGUAAUAUCCAGUAUGCUACAACUCUAGGAAAUGAAACCUGUUCUCACAAACUAAGAGUACUAAAGUGUAAUUCAGUUUUCUUUCUGUAUUAAUGGCAUAAAGAUAAUUUAACACGUAGAAUAUGAAAUUUUAAAUAUAUAAUCUAAAGAAGACCAGCAACCAAAAAUACAAAAAUUACAGCUGACAAGGUUAUUUUUAGGCAGGUAAAAAUGUAAUCCAUGCAUUAGUCUGCAGUGAUCUAUGUAUUAACAUUUAUACAUUUCUGAUGUUUACUUCCUCAUAGAUGUUGAAAAUAAAUUAAUGUGAUGUUAUAAGCAAGGGAUUGCGAGAUGCAGACAAAUCACUUAAUAGCAAUGCAGCUGUGAGGGAACCUUACAGCACUGACACUAUAUUCCUUAACACUAUGCCAAAUAGCACAGAGGUAAGGUCUAAUUAAAACCUAAAAAUUUAAAUUAUAUCCUACAUCUGUACAACAUUAUCAUGAUACCUGCACCUUAGAUCUGUGAAAUGAAGGUUUGUAGGAAAUAAAUAUAUAUAUAUAUAUAUAUAUAUAUAUAUAUAUCUCUAUCUAUAUGAUGUGCAGGUUAAUGUCCUCUAUGUUGCUCUUGUUUAUUAUGGGUUGUAAGUGUUAAGUAUAUAUGUCAGUUAUUGUAUCCAAGUAACAAAAAUUUGUUUAUGGAUGUCCUCAGUAUCUUCUGUUGUGUUAUUUGCAAACACAUAACUAAACAAAAGUACAUUGGAUUUUGGCAGACUAUUUGCAUAAUAUGUUUCUGUCCAUAGUUUUUUUUCUUCAGGACUGUAAACAAAUUAAAAACAAAAAUCACUUAAUAAAACAAAUAAAAUAAGACAUUUAUUUACAGCUGUGAAUCACCACAGUUUAUUCUAUGAUUAAAUGCAGUUUAUAAUGUGCUAUUAUAUUUAAAUCCCAACACUAAUUUGUACCAUUCUCAUAUUUGUUUAGCUGUGGAGUUUGAUUUACUGAUAGACACUUAAAAUUACACUACAGUUUUAUUAUCUAUUGAUUGUUUUUAUAUUCCCUUACAUUGUGUGUAUA
Molecule: non-coding RNA, 2916 nt
Organism: Pelobates cultripes (western spadefoot toad)
Lineage: Eukaryota; Metazoa; Chordata; Amphibia; Anura; Pelobatidae
Source: the annotation of a GenBank genome assembly